GAAAAAAUGAAUGCAAGUCAACGGGGCUAAAAACGCCUUUUUCUAAUCCACUGUGCCUCACAAUUAUUAACAAUAUUAAAGCUCCGAUGUAUGAUUACGUGUGUUAAAAUGACGUUAUUUAUUUAUAUGAGCGUCGUCGGCGUUCAGAGAUCUUCUCAUUCCGGUGUGAGAGCAGCAGCUGAACCCGGUAACACCACCAGCAACAGAAGCUGACACGAGAAUAAACCCUCAUCAUGAACUGUGGCUGAAACGCACUUCUUCACCAGGGUGACCCAACUGGCUCGGAGGAAGUCCCAGGCCAGCUUGUAGCCGCGAGGGUUUUUGGCAACGGACACAACCACGUCUGGGAGGUCCUGAGUCUUCAUCACCUCACCGUGGAGACUUUGCUCCAUCAUCCUGCAGACAGAACACAGAGAGGAUGACAAAGCGGUCAGUUUAAGUAGAAUGUGCUGAUGUGUGCAGCGCUCACCACUGGAGUUUGUCCUGCAGCGGGCUGAUAGCCAUGGCGCUUUUAUAGCGGCUCUUCAGCGACAUCUGCAGCGAGUUGUGGUACUUCUCAAACAGGAAGUCCCACCCCUCUGGUGUGCGAGCUCCGAUCACAAACACAGCCAUUGAGACAUCGACAGGGAGGCUAAAAAGGUGGACCGUGACCUCUGACCUCACGGUGCCGUCAGACUCCUUCCACUGGCUGAAGAGCUGGAUGGCUUUCCUCACACAGGGUUCGUAGUUCAUGAAGCAGGCAAACAGCAGCAGGUAACUCCUCAGAACACGCUCGGAGACAGAACCAGAGUCGCUCCACUGCUGCCGAUCGAUCAGAUCCCGGAACAGCUCUACGAUGUAACCCUGAAGCACACACACAGAAUCAAAUCAGCAUGGAGGGUAGCCGAUCACACAUGACCAACUGUUAACUGGUUUCAACUCAUAAAAAUUAAAGAAAUGUUCAUGAUGUCAUCAUCUUGACUGUACUGCAUGAUGUAGAUGUGUUAUUAUCGGUCCUCUGAAAGGCCUUGAAGGUUGUCUCACUUUCAUCUGCUUCUCCAGCACCGUCAUGUCUCUCUUUUCCAUCAGCUUGUAGAGAGGAACAAGCUCUCCAAAGCCCCGAGUCACAGCCAUGAUCUCGGUCUCGUUGGACAGGUACAGAGACAGCUCCAGGGCCGUGUCCAGGCUCACCUUCCCAACACUACAACACCGAGAACAAGCUUCGGAUCAGAACACCACUAGACAGGAGUUCAUUCUGCACAGAAACCAGAGGAUUGAACAUCAAAAGAAAAACCCCCACCCAGAGGUUCUUUCCACUGACCGCCACUGCGAGAAAGAACGAUUAAAAACGAGGGAUUCUGUGUUCAUCUCUCACCACGUGCAGCUCUGGGUAGGUGAUGUCCAGGGAAAUAAACUCCAUGAACUUGGCAAAACCCUCGUUCAGCCACAAGUCGUUCCACCACUCCAUCGUCACCAGGUUUCCGAACCACUAAGCCCAUUUGAAAACAACAAAAAAAUGACGGCUGUAUCCUGAUAUUUCUCUUUCUUUUUCAGAAAUCCAGCUACCUGGUGUGCGAGCUCAUGAGCGAUAACCUUGGUGAUGGACAGCUUGUCGGAGGCGGAGGACUUAUCGGGGUCAAAGAGGAGGCCGGUCUCUCUGUAGGUGGUCAGGCCCCAGUUCUCCAUCGCACCGGACUGGAAAUCAGGAAUAGCUGCCAGGUCUGCAGGGAAAAACACAAACCAGCGAAUCCUUUAAAUCUGAAGACAUGUUCUUGCUGUGUGACCAAAAACAUGCUGAUAGAAGGUUUACUUUACAAACCCUGUUUGGGAAGAGGGUAGGGAAUGUCAAAAUAAUCGUCAUAGAAGUCCAACAACUUGACUGCAGCAUCCAGAGCAAAGGCGGUCUGGUUGAUCCUCUCUGGAACGGCGUAAAUGGAAAUCUGAUGGGAAUGAGUAAAAAAAAGGAAUUAAAAAUAACACUGUGGUCCUUCAAAAUAAAGUCUUAUGCUGAUGUUUCUAAAUUUAAAA
Molecule: non-coding RNA, 2007 nt
Organism: Nothobranchius furzeri (turquoise killifish)
Lineage: Eukaryota; Metazoa; Chordata; Actinopteri; Cyprinodontiformes; Nothobranchiidae
Source: RefSeq, a predicted model, not a curated record